GUCAGGAUGGCCGAGUGGUCUAAGGCGCCAGACUUAAGUUCUGGUCUCUGUAUGGAGACGUGGGUUCAAAUCCCACUCCUGACA
This 84-nucleotide transfer RNA is filed under the name Alligator mississippiensis (American alligator). RNAcentral describes it as "tRNA-Leu (TAA) (tRNA-Leu-TAA-1-1)". It matches the Rfam family "tRNA". From Rfam's summary of the family: Transfer RNA (tRNA) molecules are approximately 80 nucleotides in length. Their secondary structure includes four short double-helical elements and three loops (D, anti-codon, and T loops). The record is from RNAcentral. Lineage: Eukaryota; Metazoa; Chordata; Crocodylia; Alligatoridae.